ACCAGGAUGGCCGAGUGGUUAAGGUGUUGGACUUAAGAUCCAAUGGGCAAAAGCCCCCGUGGGUUUGACCCCCACUUCUGGUA
Molecule: transfer RNA, 83 nt
Filed under: Perca fluviatilis (European perch)
Lineage: Eukaryota; Metazoa; Chordata; Actinopteri; Perciformes; Percidae
Rfam family: tRNA
About the family: Transfer RNA (tRNA) molecules are approximately 80 nucleotides in length. Their secondary structure includes four short double-helical elements and three loops (D, anti-codon, and T loops).
Source: Rfam by way of RNAcentral